This 255-nucleotide long non-coding RNA is filed under the name Olea europaea (common olive). Its description in RNAcentral is "long non-coding RNA (OEUR_LNC012311)". Lineage: Eukaryota; Viridiplantae; Streptophyta; Magnoliopsida; Lamiales; Oleaceae. The record is from RNAcentral.
GGUAGACAGCCUGUUUCCAUUCCAGGCCCCUUUUGGUUUGCUGAAUUGCAAGAAUCGAAAGGCCACUCCGGCUAGAAUCCAGUUUGACUUGAAUUGCUGAUGGAAUGUCCUUUUCCUAUUCUACUGUUUUGUUGCCAAAAGGGAAAGCCUACAAGUAAGAUUGGUCCAGAAAAUCCACUACCAAGAGAGGGAGGGAGAGACGUAGAUGGAGAGAGAGGUGGUGAUGAGUAGAGGCAGACUGUUACGGAGCUGUGG